CCUACGGGGGACAGCAGUGAGGAAUAUUGGUCAAUGGACGAGAGUCUGAACCAGCCAAGUAGCGUGAAGGAUGACUGCCCUAUGGGUUGUAAACUUCUUUUAUAUGGGAAUAAAAUGUUCCACGUGUGGGAUUUUGUAUGUACCAUAUGAAUAAGGAUCGGCUAACUCCGUACCAGCAGCCGCGGUAAUACGGAGGAUCCGAGCGUUAUCCGGAUUUAUUGGGUUUAAAGGGAGCGUAGGUGGAUUGUUAAGUCAGUUGUGAAAGUUUGCGGCUCAACCGUAAAAUUGCAGUUGAAACUGGCAGUCUUGAGUACAGUAGAGGUGGGCGGAAUUCGUGGUGUAGCGGUGAAAUGCUUAGAUAUCACGAAGAACUCCGAUUGUGAAGGCAGUUCACUGGACUGCAACUGACACUGAGGCUCGAAAGUGUGGGUAUCAAACAGGAUUAGAUACCCGUGUAGUC
Molecule: ribosomal RNA, 460 nt
Filed under: uncultured bacterium
Lineage: Bacteria
Description: partial 16S ribosomal RNA
Rfam family: Bacterial small subunit ribosomal RNA
Source: RNAcentral